CACUAGCGCGGUGGUCCCACCUGACCCCAUGCCGAACUCAGAAGUGAAACGCCGUAGCGCCGAUGGUAGUGUGGGG
Molecule: ribosomal RNA, 76 nt
Filed under: Klebsiella pneumoniae
Lineage: Bacteria; Pseudomonadati; Pseudomonadota; Gammaproteobacteria; Enterobacterales; Enterobacteriaceae
Also listed under: 1 other name
Source: RNAcentral